RNAcentral lists this ribosomal RNA (1468 nucleotides) under Staphylococcus aureus. RNAcentral's name for it is "partial 23S ribosomal RNA". It matches the Rfam family "Bacterial large subunit ribosomal RNA", at positions 95 to 1561 of the family's 2925-position model. Lineage: Bacteria; Bacillati; Bacillota; Bacilli; Caryophanales; Staphylococcaceae. The record is from RNAcentral.
AGCUUUGAUCCAGAGAUUUCCGAAUGGGGAAACCCAGCAUGAGUUAUGUCAUGUUAUCGAUAUGUGAAUACAUAGCAUAUCAGAAGGCACACCCGGAGAACUGAAACAUCUUAGUACCCGGAGGAAGAGAAAGAAAAUUCGAUUCCCUUAGUAGCGGCGAGCGAAAUGGGAAGAGCCCAAACCAACAAGCUUGCUUGUUGGGGUUGUAGGACACUCUAUACGGAGUUACAAAGGACGACAUUAGACGAAUCAUCUGGAAAGAUGAAUCAAAGAAGGUAAUAAUCCUGUAGUCGAAAAUGUUGUCUCUCUUGAGUGGAUCCUGAGUACGACGGAGCACGUGAAAUUCCGUCGGAAUCUGGGAGGACCAUCUCCUAAGGCUAAAUACUCUCUAGUGACCGAUAGUGAACCAGUACCGUGAGGGAAAGGUGAAAAGCACCCCGGAAGGGGAGUGAAAUAGAACCUGAAACCGUGUGCUUACAAGUAGUCAGAGCCCGUUAAUGGGUGAUGGCGUGCCUUUUGUAGAAUGAACCGGCGAGUUACGAUUUGAUGCAAGGUUAAGCAGUAAAUGUGGAGCCGUAGCGAAAGCGAGUCUGAAUAGGGCGUUUAGUAUUUGGUCGUAGACCCGAAACCAGGUGAUCUACCCUUGGUCAGGUUGAAGUUCAGGUAACACUGAAUGGAGGACCGAACCGACUUACGUUGAAAAGUGAGCGGAUGAACUGAGGGUAGCGGAGAAAUUCCAAUCGAACCUGGAGAUAGCUGGUUCUCUCCGAAAUAGCUUUAGGGCUAGCCUCAAGUGAUGAUUAUUGGAGGUAGAGCACUGUUUGGACGAGGGGCCCCUCUCGGGUUACCGAAUUCAGACAAACUCCGAAUGCCAAUUAAUUUAACUUGGGAGUCAGAACAUGGGUGAUAAGGUCCGUGUUCGAAAGGGAAACAGCCCAGACCACCAGCUAAGGUCCCAAAAUAUAUGUUAAGUGGAAAAGGAUGUGGCGUUGCCCAGACAACUAGGAUGUUGGCUUAGAAGCAGCCAUCAUUUAAAGAGUGCGUAAUAGCUCACUAGUCGAGUGACACUGCGCCGAAAAUGUACCGGGGCUAAACAUAUUACCGAAGCUGUGGAUUGUCCUUUGGACAAUGGUAGGAGAGCGUUCUAAGGGCGUUGAAGCAUGAUCGUAAGGACAUGUGGAGCGCUUAGAAGUGAGAAUGCCGGUGUGAGUAGCGAAAGACGGGUGAGAAUCCCGUCCACCGAUUGACUAAGGUUUCCAGAGGAAGGCUCGUCCGCUCUGGGUUAGUCGGGUCCUAAGCUGAGGCCGACAGGCGUAGGCGAUGGAUAACAGGUUGAUAUUCCUGUACCACCUAUAAUCGUUUUAAUCGAUGGGGGGACGCAGUAGGAUAGGCGAAGCGUGCGAUUGGAUUGCACGUCUAAGCAGUAAGGCUGAGUAUUAGGCAAAUCCGGUACUCGUUAAGGCUGAGC